GACGAACGCUGGCGGCGUGCUUAACACAUGCAAGUCGAACGGAAAGGCCCUGCUUUUGUGGGGUGCUCGAGUGGCGAACGGGUGAGUAACACGUGAGUAACCUGCCCUUGACUUUGGGAUAACUUCAGGAAACUGGGGCUAAUACCGGAUAGGAGCUCCUGCUGCAUGGUGGGGGUUGGAAAGUUUCGGCGGUUGGGGAUGGACUCGCGGCUUAUCAGCUUGUUGGUGGGGUAGUGGCUUACCAAGGCUUUGACGGGUAGCCGGCCUGAGAGGGUGGCCGGCCACAUGGGGACUGAGAGACGGCCCAGAAUCCUACGGGAGGCAGCAGUGGGGAAUAUUGCACAAUGGGCGGAAGCCUGAUGCAGCAACGCCGCGUGCGGGAUGACGGCCUUCGGGUUGUAAACCGCUUUCGCCUGUGACGAAGCGUGAGUGACGGUAAUGGGUGAAGAAGCACCGGCUAACUACGUG
RNAcentral lists this ribosomal RNA (468 nucleotides) under uncultured bacterium. Its description in RNAcentral is "partial 16S ribosomal RNA". It matches the Rfam family "Bacterial small subunit ribosomal RNA", at positions 28 to 507 of the family's 1533-position model. The record is from RNAcentral.